RNAcentral lists this long non-coding RNA (242 nucleotides) under Phaseolus vulgaris (common bean). RNAcentral's name for it is "long non-coding RNA (PVUL_LNC000742)". Lineage: Eukaryota; Viridiplantae; Streptophyta; Magnoliopsida; Fabales; Fabaceae. The record is from RNAcentral.
AAGUUCUCAACUGUAAUACAACUUCAGGUGCGUGGCGUUCCAGGUGCGAGGAAUAGCCCCUCCUUCCAAUGUCUCUAAGCGGUAGGCGCCGUUCCCGAGCGCCUCGGUUAUUCUGAACGGUCCAGUCCACUUGGGUGACAGCUUAUUCUCCAUCUCGUAUUGGUGGGCUUUUCUCAUCACCAGGUCGCCUUCUCUAAAUUGUCUUGGCAUCACCUUCGAGUUAUAUCUUCGUUCAAUCCUUC